Molecule: ribosomal RNA, 253 nt
Filed under: uncultured bacterium
Lineage: Bacteria
Description: partial 16S ribosomal RNA
Rfam family: Bacterial small subunit ribosomal RNA
Source: RNAcentral
UACGGGGGGGGCGAGCGUUGUUCGGAAUUAUUGGGCGUAAAGAGCUCGUAGGCGGUUUGUCGCGUCUGCCGUGAAAGUCCGGGGCUCAACUCCGGAUCUGCGGUGGGUACGGGCAGACUAGAGUGAUGUAGGGGAGACUGGAAUUCCUGGUGUAGCGGUGAAAUGCGCAGAUAUCAGGAGGAACACCGAUGGCGAAGGCAGGUCUCUGGGCAUUAACUGACGCUGAGGAGCGAAAGCAUGGGGAGCGAACAGG